AGUGCCGGCCCCGCGGCUGCUGCUCCGGCCCGGCCAGGUGCCUUCGUGUUGAGGCGAAAGGACUGGGCCUCAGUGGGUGAAGGGACCGGGUGGCCCGCUUCCACCUAGGGCAGAGGCUGGAUCGGCCGCGGCGAGGCUGGGCCCAGCAUUACUGGGAGGGGAACUUGAGAGCCGCGGGUUGAUGUUCGGAGCUCAGGCGACGACUGACCACCCACCCUUCCUCGAAGAGGAACAAUGGCUUGGCUGAUGGAAUUUGAGAAAUGGCAGGUGUGAGGACUCUGACCUUCCCAUGAAGCAGGUCAUAAGACCCUCAUGUGAGAGAUGCCCUCUCUAUACCUGGAGAAAAGAAGCAGUCUUAUUUGUGAAGACAGAGAGACGCCAAGAGGAAUCUAAAUGAAUAGGCCUUGGAACCCCAGACGCACGGGCCUUGUGCUGUCGCUGCCGUGGCACCCCUUCUAGAAGGACUCUAUUCUCUAUAACAGAAGUGGGAGCCUUGGACAACUGAACGCCUAUCUCUAGCUCAAGAAAUGUCAGCUCUUUUUUUUUUUUUGAGACUGUCACCCAGUCGGGAGUACAGUGGCGCCAUCUUGGCUCUCUGUAACCUCCACCUCCUGGGUUCAAGCGAUUCUCCUGCCUCAGCCUCCUGAGUAGCUGGGGCUACAGGUAUGCACCAUCACUCCUGGCUAAUUGUUGUAUUUUUAGUAGAUAAUGGGGUUUCACCAUGUUGGCCAGGGUGGUCUCAAACUCCUGACCUCAGGUGAUCUGCCUGCCUCGGCCUCCCAAAGUGCUGGGA
This 793-nucleotide long non-coding RNA is filed under the name Homo sapiens (human). RNAcentral describes it as "non-protein coding SEC24B-AS1:21". Lineage: Eukaryota; Metazoa; Chordata; Mammalia; Primates; Hominidae. The record is from RNAcentral.